This 292-nucleotide ribosomal RNA is filed under the name uncultured bacterium. Its description in RNAcentral is "partial 16S ribosomal RNA". It matches the Rfam family "Bacterial small subunit ribosomal RNA", at positions 505 to 796 of the family's 1533-position model. The record is from RNAcentral.
GUGUCAGCAGCCGCGGUAAGACAGAGGGUGCAAACGUUGUUCGGAAUUACUGGGCGUAAAGCGAGUGUAGGCGGUUUGAUAAGUCGGAUGUGAAAGCCCUGGGCUCAACCCAGGAAGUGCACUCGAUACUGUCAAGCUAGAGUAUCGGAGAGGUUGGUGGAAUUCUCGGUGUAGAGGUGAAAUUCGUAGAUAUCGAGAGGAACACCGGUGGCGAAGGCGGCCAACUGGACGAAUACUGACGCUGAGACUCGAAAGCGUGGGGAGCAAACAGGAUUAGAUACCCUGGUAGUCC